GGCGGGUCACCUCGCAUUGUAAGUUAGCCAACCUGGUCAGGUGCGGAAGCAAGCAGCCACAACUAAUGAAACAAGUGCCGAGACCAUGGCUCGCCUUA
Non-coding RNA from beta proteobacterium KB13, 98 nucleotides. The record is from Rfam. NCBI's taxonomy places the organism in Bacteria, Pseudomonadati, Pseudomonadota, Betaproteobacteria, Nitrosomonadales.